Mesorhizobium ciceri biovar biserrulae WSM1271 is the source of this 39-nucleotide non-coding RNA. The record is from Rfam. Lineage: Bacteria; Pseudomonadati; Pseudomonadota; Alphaproteobacteria; Hyphomicrobiales; Phyllobacteriaceae.
CCGUUCAACUCGUUCCUCCGCCGAGAGGGACUACGGGAG